UUAAAGUUGACUACAGGAGCAUAAUUAAUGAAGAGUGUGGAGUAAAACACAAAACAAACAUCAACAAUAUCUGUGACCUCGUUAUCACUACAAGAAACACUAAACAAUCCUCAGAUAUCCCCAGCUAUGCUCUGCAUCUAAAAACAGGUCCAGCCAAUGUUGGAACAUUUGACUUUAUAAAAGAAGGUUGGAGCAGAGAAUGGAA
Long non-coding RNA from Homarus americanus (American lobster), 205 nucleotides. RefSeq lists it as uncharacterized. The record is from RefSeq and is a predicted model, not a curated record. Lineage: Eukaryota; Metazoa; Arthropoda; Malacostraca; Decapoda; Nephropidae. The transcript is spliced from 2 exons.